AGAGGAGUCACUAUGUUUCCACUUGGCUGGAUUUUCCUUGUUGCCAUUUUAAAAGGUGUCCAGUGUGAAGUACAACUGGUGGAGUCUGGUGGAGACCUUAAACAGCCUGGAGGGUCUCUGAAGCUCUCCUGUGCAGCCUCUGGAUUCACUUUCAGUAGCUAUGCCAUGAGCUGGGUUCGCCAAGCUCCAGGAAAGGGGCUGCAGUGGGUCUCAGCUAUUAGUGACAAAAGCAGUAACACAUACUACGCAGACUCUGUGAAGGGCCGAUUCACCAUCUCCAGAGACAACAACAAGAACAUGCUGUACCUGCAGAUGAACAGUCUGAGAACAGAGGACACAGCCAUGUAUUACUGUGCAAAAGACACAGUGCAGGAAACUCAAUGUGAACCUAGACAGAAACCUCUCUGUGAGAGAAGAGUCCACAAGAUUCUGGUCCAGGAGCAGGUGCAGAUGUGGGUUAAAGGCAAAUUUCCUGUAGUGAUCUGGGCAUCCUCCAUCUGA
Non-coding RNA from Elephantulus edwardii (Cape elephant shrew), 501 nucleotides. The record is from the annotation of a RefSeq genome assembly. Lineage: Eukaryota; Metazoa; Chordata; Mammalia; Macroscelidea; Macroscelididae.